Long non-coding RNA from Erpetoichthys calabaricus (reedfish), 1568 nucleotides. RefSeq lists it as uncharacterized. Lineage: Eukaryota; Metazoa; Chordata; Cladistia; Polypteriformes; Polypteridae. The transcript has 3 exons. The record is from RefSeq and is a predicted model, not a curated record.
UUGCUGAUUCUUAAAUUCCUUUAUCCUGGUAUGCCAAGAGAAAGAACUAGAGAGCUGAAGAAGGCUGUAGAAACUGAACAAGUAGCAGGAAGAGAAAGCAACCUUUGUUCGUCUGGCACAGGCGAGCUUUAGCGACUGUUAUUUAUCAGGGGAUUUCAGCAAUCAAAAAUGUAACGCAGUAACUCAGACUUUGCUUCUUAGUUACCUACACUUGGAAAAGAAGGCUUCUUCUGGCGUAGAACUUCUCUGCCCGUGUUUGGUGUAUGCCUCAUCAUUUUUUGCUGUCCUUUUGUACUUUUAUGGGCUCUUACUUUAUAAGGUGUGGUGUCAAACCAUGAAUGCCUUCAAUACAGGGACAACCUCUACCACCCAAGACUGUGCAUUAGAUCUGGAAAUGAUAACAGAUAAUGCAAGAGUAGAAGUUGACAAAAUUCUGAAGAAAGAAGAAGUUCUUGAUGUCCUUCUAGCUAAAUCAGAGGAUCUCAAGAAUUCAGUUGGAGUUUUCAAAAAAACACCACAUAAAACAACAUUAGCGUCUCAUUGUACUAGGACCCGAGUGUUGAUUGGCACUGCCGUCCUGAUGGUGGCUGUGGUUCUUCUUAUCUUGGUCAUUCUUUUUGCCACCAAUGUUAUUCCAACAUAAUGUCACUGUCUGCUGUUAUUCUUCUUUAGAAAGAAAUACUUGAUCCACCAUUAAGGUUUCCUAACUGAUGUCUUGUAUUCUUCCACUCUUGGCUACUUUAAAAUUUUGGACUAUGCCAGGCAGGCAACAUGUAAAGAGCUGAACUUCCUGUUAACUCAGUUAACUUAUGGGUACAGUUGUCAGGCAAAAACAGCCAAACUCAAGACCUGUGAAGAAUGGAGGAAGAAUUGAAGAAAUAGUUUAGACAGGGCAUACUAAACAGCACUUCAAGGUACCAUGAAGAACUGCCUCCUUUACUACUAUUGUCUAUGUCUGGUUUAACAGCAGAGAUACAUAGCAGGUAUACUCACAUUGACUGGCUGGCUGGCAUCUAGAGCUGGGCCUGGAGAGAUACCUAGGUGGAAGGAAAAGAAUUAUGAAGGCAACGGCGACCUUUGGGUACUGAAGAUUCAUGUUGCAGUUCCAGAUCUCUGGUUCUGGUACCGGAUGUUGAGGCUUUACCAGGUUUGCUUUACCUGUCACAGGCCACUGUCCCACUGACCAGUAUUUAAAAUCUCCAACCCUGCUUAAACCUUCAAUGAAAACCUUAACUUGACACCUUCUUCAGCUGAACCUUUGAGACCAGAUAAAUGUAAAAAUCGAGAGCAGACCAAGUUAAUAUCAAGACAGGUCAUUUUAUAUAACCACAGAAAAUAAAACAGAAAGAUAAAUGAUUAAAUGCAAAUAAUAUCUAAUGUAAUACUUUAACUUGUUACCUGCUUUAACUGUUAACUUCUAUAGUACAAUUAAAAUGUAACAAAGAAAAUUAUUAUUUUUUUUAUUUUAUUGAUUUUAUUGUAAUCAUUCCAUACAAAUAGAUCAAUUUUUACAAAAAAAUAGGAUUGAAAACAAAUCAACCCCCACCCCUGAUAAAGAGAGCAUGGCC